Small nucleolar RNA from Choloepus didactylus (southern two-toed sloth), 137 nucleotides. RefSeq annotates it as small nucleolar RNA SNORA42/SNORA80 family. The transcript has a single exon. Lineage: Eukaryota; Metazoa; Chordata; Mammalia; Pilosa; Megalonychidae. The record is from RefSeq and is a predicted model, not a curated record.
GCAUGGGUUUGGAUUUAUGGCAGACCACCAUCCCCCCAUUGGGCCUCUUAUAGUGUCCCAUGCCAUAGCAAAUCAUAGUCCCAAACCAUUGCCUGGCCUUGUCCGUUGGCUUCGGCACUGAAGCGGGUUGCCCAGUG